ACUUGGAGGUGUGCCCUUGAGGAAGGUUCCGGAGCUAACGCGUUAAGCGACCGCCUGGAGAGUACGGCCGCAAGAGAAAACUCAAAUGAAUUGACGGGGGCCCGCACAAGCCGAGGAGCAUGUGGUUUAAUUCGAUACAACGCGAAGAACCUUACCUACUCUUGACAUCCAGAGAACUUAGCAGAGAUGCUUUGGGGCCUUCGGGAACUCUGAGACAGGGGCUGCAUGGUUGUCGUCAGAUCGUGUUGUGAAAUGCUGGAGUAAGUCCCGCAACGAGCGCAACCCUUAUCC
RNAcentral lists this ribosomal RNA (291 nucleotides) under Enterobacter mori. Its description in RNAcentral is "partial 16S ribosomal RNA". It matches the Rfam family "Bacterial small subunit ribosomal RNA", at positions 815 to 1110 of the family's 1533-position model. Lineage: Bacteria; Pseudomonadati; Pseudomonadota; Gammaproteobacteria; Enterobacterales; Enterobacteriaceae. The record is from RNAcentral.